Haemorhous mexicanus (house finch) is the source of this 1569-nucleotide long non-coding RNA. RefSeq lists it as uncharacterized. The record is from RefSeq and is a predicted model, not a curated record. The transcript is spliced from 2 exons. NCBI's taxonomy places the organism in Eukaryota, Metazoa, Chordata, Aves, Passeriformes, Fringillidae.
GCGGCAGGUGCGGCGCGGCCCGGGCGGGAGUGGUGCGAGUUGUGCCCGGUGUGCUCCCGCUUCUUCCAGUGCUCCCGGGUCCUCGUGUGGUCCCGCAGCCCCGGCCGGCUGGGCGCUGCUGGGCUGCUGCGAGGCCGGGCGGCGUGGAGAGCGUGCCAUAAAGUGCCGAGACCAUGCAGCCAUCAGGGACAGGAGCGUUAUUGGUGUAUUGUGGAUGGUUAUGUAUGUGUGCUAGGUAUAUAUGGUCCGUGUUGCAGUGUUUUCUCAAGACCCAAGAGGCGUCGUCUGCCCCUACUGAGAACACACAGUCGACUAAGAUAAGGAAACUUUUUUGCCAAAAUUUACCAAGGGGUUCGUAUCUAAGAGAAACUCAAGUUGCUGAUGCUCAGUAACUUUGCAGAAGUUGAAUGCAGGAACAUCUGGAUUAGCAUGAAUCGCAAGGAUGCUAAUGGAUGCCGCUGCAAGAUGUACAAAAAUAGAGUAGCUUUGCCCUGCCACAUUUAUGAUUGGAUAAUUAGAAAUAAGCACCAGUGGGUAAUUAGGUGAUUCAUGUCAUACCAUUGUGUAAAACUCCUAAAGCAAAAUCUCAGGGGUGUGCCCAGUUUGGCUGGGGCACUUUAGAUGCAAGAAUAAAUAUUUAUGUUUGUAAUUCUCUGGUUUGUGUCCUAGCCUCUCUCCUUGAUUGGCACCAGCCAGCUGUGAAUUCAUAACAAGAGUGCAAGUGCUUUGGCUUCUCUCUUCCAAGGAAGGGCUCUGCCCGGAGCUCCCACCUCAGGCACUGAAUUCCUGUGGGUGCUGUCUGUGCUUCCCGCCGUGGCGGGCCGGAUUUCGAGGAGCAGUGCCAGCAGGCAACAAGGAGGCCUGAAGGCCUUUGGCUCAUAACCAACGCUGACGCUGCAGCUGGAGCUACGGGAGCGCCUGCAGCUCGGGUAGAGCCUCCCGGCUUCUGCCUCUGAUCUGAGAACAUCGAGCUUUCCUGGUGUCUUCUCUAACACAGUUUGUGUGGUGAAUCUCCCAGUAUUGUUUGUUGCUGCUCAAGAUUCAUUAAUACGUCGUGAGCUGCUUUGCAGAUGCCAGCUUUGCCUGCUAGCCUUAGAAGUGUUCGACGCGUUUGUUUCCAGAGCUUGAAUGGAGAUGCGUGCUCUUGGAAACUCUUCUUGAGGGCAGUCCAGCAGAAGAGCCCGAGCUGACAAGGGUCAAAGUGCCUGUGUGACAUUUGGGUCCAAAGCAAUAGAUGAUAUAGAUGCUAACACAACACAGUUAUAUUGCGGAACCAGAUGGAAAUCUGAUCCUUAAUACUUUCUUAUACCUACUGUAAUGCUUUUUCUACCUUUUCCUCAAAUUGUAGAGUAGAGUGUUCUAAUUACUGUACAUUCCAUUAAUUUUGUUUUGGAUGGCAAAAAAGAAAUUGACAAUGGAAACUGCUUACCUGCCACCGAAUAUCCCAGGUUUAUGCCCUACAGGUUAUUUCAAAGUGUAUACUGUCACCCAUAUGCAUUGCUACUGUUUUCAUUCAUAGGACAAUAAAAAGUGGGUACCCCCUUGGCAAAUAAAAACUCUCCCAGAAAA